Panicum virgatum (switchgrass) is the source of this 1750-nucleotide RNA transcript. It is a transcript of the gene named forkhead box protein D1-like, with no coding region annotated. The record is from RefSeq and is a predicted model, not a curated record. The transcript is spliced from 5 exons. Lineage: Eukaryota; Viridiplantae; Streptophyta; Magnoliopsida; Poales; Poaceae.
CCCCCGACGCCCCCAUGCCCUCCGCCCCAAAUCAUGGCCAUCCCCGCCGAGCCCCCACCCCGGCCGCCUGCGCCUAGCCCUGCACGCCGCCCGCCUCCCCCACCCCACGGCCAUGAUCGAGCGCCCCUCCUCCCUGGCGGCUCGCCUCCCCAUGGAUCUCGCUACGCCUGUCCUUGCCCCGGUGGGCACCCGUGCGCGGCUCAGCACGUGGCAGCGACGGCAGUGGGGUCGCCGCCGUUCAGCUGCGGCGCGGGGCCGGUCGGUGGCAGCGGAGGAGGCCGCCGCGCCCAUGGCGGCAGCGGGAAGAGGAGCAGCUCGGGCCGGCCGCACCUCUCCCUUCCCAAUCCCCCCACCGCCGGCGUAGUGGUGCAAGGGCUCGGCGUCCACGUACCUCACUGCCGGCGAGAUCUCCGGCCUCGUCGCGCUUGUCCUCGAGCUCGUGGCUGCCGGCUCUUCACCCGGGCUCCUGCGGCCCCGCUCCUCCCUCCUCUGCAAGGCGGCGGCGGGGCGUCGUGCACUUCUACAACUCUGAUGACUUCCCUGUUGCGUGGCGCCUCCGCAUCUUCCUCCUCUACAAGGCGGCGACGCCCCUCCACUUCACGCCCUCCAAGGUGGCCCAGCUCGGCCGCCGAUCCGGAGGUCUGCAAGACCCCGUCCUCGCCGCCUGCCAUUCAACUUCUACUGCCGUGCUACAAUGAUGGAGGGACAUCGAGCAGGUCACCUCAAGUGCCAGGUCUUGACCAAUUUGUUCCAUCUACAGUACGGUUAAGAUAAGCUAUUUAGCCGACACACAAUGGCUUUUAUUCAAUCAGUCAUAUGAAUCUUCCUUUACUCAUAAUGCUGGUGAUUUCGGAUCUAUACUUCGGUUGGCUGAUUAUUUCUUUGCAGGAUAAACUACUUUGGAUGUCUAAAUCGAUUGUGAUGUUUAGCUCACUGUUAUUGCGUCUCCCGAUAGAUUGCGCUUACUUGCAGGAGCCAGAUGUGACAUAUGUGAUGAAGAGCUUUUGCUUUCUUGUCCUCUCAUAGUCACUGAGUCACAGGUCAGGUUUUUUCAGAAGAGGUGUGUUAUCUUGUUGGAUGGGAUUUCUUCUUCCGAAGAGAAAAGAUGAAACUAAAAAGGUACGCUAGACGUACAAUGUGUGGACGUGGAGCACGUGCUGACGAAACCGAACCACAAGACGGUGUUGGGUGGACGCAUCCUGAAGAGAGAAGGACCUGCUAGAGCAACCAAAGACCCGGCUCAAAGUCAGAAGGGCCCAAGGCCUUGUUAGUACUAACACUGACUUAGUGUUAUCCCAGGCAAGCCCCGGAGCAUAACCCUUAAUUUUAGUAUUUAAUGUUUACUAUAUAAUUAUUGUGCAUUUACGUUUCUAGGAGUUGAUUGGAACCUUAGAUGCAUAAUCCCUAAGCUUCCUCAGUUACUCUACUAGUGCGCAGGUCGUUAGUACUGCAAUGCUUAAAUAGGUUUCGGUAGAAGUCGAGUGAUUCCUGUCACUCGCGAGUUAUAGGAUCUUGUUACUUAUGGCAAAGUUGUUGGAGAAAGAAUUGAUGAGGAAAGAGAAAUGGAGACCGGGCGGAGAUGAAUAUGAUUAUGGAUAUGAAAUGGAUGAAGAGUAAGCCUUCGCCUGUGUCGAUUAAGGCCCGUACCGUUGUCUGGCCCUGCUGAUCGAGUUCGAACAGUACUAACCACAUGCCGGGAGUAGGAGGUAGUCGAAACCGGUAAGCUCAGUACCAUAUGCGCACCGGUAGG